This 468-nucleotide ribosomal RNA is filed under the name uncultured bacterium. RNAcentral describes it as "partial 16S ribosomal RNA". It matches the Rfam family "Bacterial small subunit ribosomal RNA", at positions 28 to 507 of the family's 1533-position model. The record is from RNAcentral.
GACGAACGCUGGCGGCGUGCCUAACACAUGCAAGUCGAACGGAAAGGUCCUGCUUUUGUGGGGAGGUCGAGUGGCGAAGGGGUGAGUAACACGUGAGUAACCCGUCCCUGACUGAGGGAUAACUUCAGGAAACUGGGGCUAAUACCGGAUAGGAGCUACUGCUGCAUGGUGGGGGUUGGUAAGUUUCGGUGGUUGGGGAUGGACUCGCGGCUUAUGAGCUUGUUGGUGGGGUGGUGGGUUACCAAGGUUUUGAGGGGUAGCCGACCUGAGCGGGGGACCGGCCACAUGGCUCCUGGGAUACGCCCCAGACUCCUAUGGUACGCAGCAGGGGGGAGUAUUGCACAGUAGGCGGGAGCCAGAUGCAACAACGCCGCGAGCGGGAAGACGGCCUUCGGGUUGUAAACCACUGUCGCCUGUGCCGAGGAGUUAGUGACGGUACCGGGUAAAGAAGCACCGGCUAACUACGUG